GAUGAACGCUGACAGAAUGCUUAACACAUGCAAGUCUUUGGCGAAGCUGUGCUUGCACAGCCUAGCCAAGGCGGACGGGUGAGUAACGCGUAAGGAACUUGCCCUGCAGUCAGGGAUAACAGACGGAAACGACUGAUAAGACCUGGUAAAGUCAGGCGGACUCAUGUCCAGCCUGAUGAAAAGAGAUGCUGCGGGGGGCCGUUCGUCCCUAUAGCUUGUUGGUGGGGUAACGGGCCACCAAGGCGAAGAUAGGUAGCCGGGCUGAGAGGGGGGACGGCCACAAGGGGACUGAGAUACGGCCCUUACUCCUACGGGAGGCAGCAGUGGGGAAUAUUGGACAAUGGGGGCAACCCUGAUCCAGCAAUUCUGUGUGAACGAUGAAGGUUUUCGGAGUGUAAAGUGCUUUCAGCAGGGAAGAAAAAAAUGACGGUACCUGCAGAAGAAGCGACGGCUAAAUACGUG
This 462-nucleotide ribosomal RNA is filed under the name uncultured bacterium. RNAcentral's name for it is "partial 16S ribosomal RNA". It matches the Rfam family "Bacterial small subunit ribosomal RNA", at positions 28 to 507 of the family's 1533-position model. The record is from RNAcentral.